AAAAAAAAAAAAAAUUAAGGUCUUAAUGAGUUUUAAGCUACGACGAGGACAGCAAUCAUGAACCCUGCGAGCGCCGCGGGCACCGUGCGCACUGGGCGCUGGUCACCGGGGUGGUGCUGGGGGUGAGGAGCGCGGCGCUGGGUCCGGAGUGGAGGAGGGACGGCGAGAUCCCGAAUCUCUACCAUCGGGUGACCCCGGGGGGGACCCCAAAUUUUGGGGGGGGCCCAAAUGGGGAAGGGGGGGGAGGGUUUGGGGGACCCCAAAAUCUUGGGGGGGCUCCAAAGCUGGGGAGCCCUCAAGAUUUUGGGGGGUGCCAAGGUCUUGGGGGGUCCCAAGGUCUUGAGGGGGCACAAAAGCCAAGGGGACCCCAAAAUCUGGGGGGACCCCAAAAUCUGGGAGGAUCCCAAAACGCAGGGGGACCCCAAAACCUGGGGGAACCCCAAAAUUUGGGGGCACACCGAGACCCAGGAGGGUCCCAAAAUCUGGGGGAACCCCCAAAUCUGGGGGAACCCCCAAAUUUGGGGGCUCCCCAAGGUCCGGGAAGACCCCAAAAUCUGGGGGACCCCAAAAACCUGGGAGGACCCCAAAAUGUGGGAGUACCCCAAGGUCUUGGGGGACCCCAAAACCUGGAAGGACCCCAAAAUGUGGGAGAACCCCAAAACCUGGAGGCACCCCAACCCCCCCCGGGGCUUUUAGGGCCAUCGGGGGGCGCCCCCUUGGCUUUUGGGGUUUCUGGGGGGGGGGAGGCUUUUGGGGGCGUCCCCCCCGAGUUUUGGGGUGCCGUGGGGGGGGCGCUGGUGGUGGCGCAGCAGGGGAAGAGCCCCCGCUGCCAGCUCUGGCCCUAUGAGCUCCUACGGGACAGCAACGCGCAGCUCCGGGAACUCAGCCCCCGCCGCCUGGGGGGCGACCCCAAAAGCGGGGGGGACCCCAAAACGGGGUCAGGGGGCUCGGGGGGGCAAGGGGGGGGCUACGUGGUGCCCCCCGGGGGGCUGGAGGAGGGGUUGUGCGGCCAGGCGGUGCUGCUGUACCCCAAAAAUGAAGGGGAUUAGGGGUUUGGGGGUUUAGGGUGAGGGGGUUUUUUAUGGGGUCGGGGGGGGUUGGGGUCAUAAGGGUUUUUUUGGGGGUCAUGGGGGGGGUUUGGGGGUCGGGGGGGUUGCGAUUUGGGGGUUUGAGGGGGGAUUUGGUGUCUUUGGGGGGGAUUUGGGGGUUUAUGGGGGGAUUUGGGGUCAGAGGGAUUUGGGGUCGGGGGAAUGUUUGGGGUGGGGGGGGAUAUUUGGAGUCAUUGGGGGGGAUUUGGGGUCAUUGGGGGGGUUUUGGGGUGUGUGGGGUUUUGGGGUGUCCCCCCCCCCCUGCUCCGCCCCCUGUUUUUGUAUGGGGCUGGGGUAAUAAAAGGGGUUUUGGGGUCUGAGCCCGGUGUCAUUGUUUUCGGGGGGGGCUUGGGGUGGCAGGGAUGGGGGGGGGGCUGUGGGGUGCUAUGGGGUGCCAUAGGGCGCUAUGGGGUGGGCACUAUGGGGUGCUGUGGGGUGCCAUAGGGUGUUAUGGGGCGGCCAUGGGAUGCUAUAGGGCGCUAUGUGGUAGUAUAGGGUGCCAUGGGGUGCUGCAAGGUGCUUUGGGGGGGGCUAUAGGGCUCUAUGGGGCGGCCAUGGGGCGCUAUGGGACACCAUGGGGCGCUAUGGGGUGCCAUAGGGCACUAUGGGAGGGUCAUGGGGGGGCCAUAGGGUGCUCUGGGGCGCUAUGGGGCGCCAUAGGGUGCUAUGGGGUGGGUGCUAUGGGGCGGCCAUAGGGCGCUAUAGGGCCGCCAUGGGGCGCUAUGGGGUUGCUAUGGGGCGGCCAUAGGGCGCUAUGGGGCGGGCGCCUGGGCCCUGCCCCGCCCCUCCCGCGCAUGCGCCACGCCCCCCCGGGGGGCGGGGCCUCCUGAUCCUCCUCCCUCCCGAUUGGCCGCCGCCGCGCGUUCCCAUUGGCCGAGAGCGCCGGGGGCGGGGCUUCAGACCCGGAAGCGGCGCGAUGGCGCGGAGAGCGGUGAGCGGGGCUGCGGGGGGGGGAGGGGAGCCCUCGCCCCUCCCCCACUCCCCCUUUCCCCUCCCCCCCCCGGCCUCUUUGCCCCUCCCCCAGCGGUGACCUUUGACCUUUGACACCCCCCCCCCAGGGCCCCCCCCUGACCUUGACCCUGAGGGGGCUGCACCGGACCCGGAGCCUCCGGGGGGGGGAGGGGGGGGAGGAGGAGGAGCCCCCCCGGGGGAUGGUAAGGGGGGGAGGGGCGGGGGGGGGGGGGCAAAGGGUGGGGGAGGGGCAAAGGGUGGGGGAGGGGGGAAGUGGGGAAGGGGGAGGGGCACAGGGAGGGGGAGGGGCCUGGGGGUGGGGGAGGGGCAUUGAGGGGGGAGGGGGAAAACCGGAAGGAACCGGGGGGGGAGGGGCUCGGCGCGGUCGCGGUCACGGCGCCAGGGGGCGCUGGCCCCGCACUGCGGCCCUCAGGCCA
This 2476-nucleotide long non-coding RNA is filed under the name Cairina moschata (Muscovy duck). RNAcentral describes it as "domestica (muscovy Duck (domestic type)) lncRNA (ENSCMMG00000009355.1)". The record is from RNAcentral. Lineage: Eukaryota; Metazoa; Chordata; Aves; Anseriformes; Anatidae.